Molecule: signal recognition particle RNA, 99 nt
Filed under: Chlorobiota bacterium
Lineage: Bacteria; Pseudomonadati; Chlorobiota
Description: signal recognition particle sRNA small type
Rfam family: Bacterial small signal recognition particle RNA
About the family: The signal recognition particle (SRP) is a universally conserved ribonucleoprotein involved in the co-translational targeting of proteins to membranes. Archaeal SRP consists of a 7S RNA and homologues of the eukaryotic SRP19 and SRP54 proteins.
Source: RNAcentral
GGUCAAGUCCCGAGCGGCUGAGACAAGCCCAACUCCGUCAGGUCCGGAAGGAAGCAGCGGCAAGUUUGUUCUCAGGGUGUCUCGGUAAACUUGGCCUUU